RNAcentral lists this long non-coding RNA (1880 nucleotides) under Numida meleagris (helmeted guineafowl). RNAcentral's name for it is "lncRNA (ENSNMEG00000022472.1)". The record is from RNAcentral. Lineage: Eukaryota; Metazoa; Chordata; Aves; Galliformes; Numididae.
CUGCAAAGACCUAGAUUUGUCUCACCUUAUUUUAACUACAUAAAAAUUAAUUACCUGGUUUCGGCUAUGCAUCCAUAAUUUUCCUUUAGCCAAGGGAAAAAUACAGUAACCAAUACACAGCAAUUCAUCCUGGCCCAGGAGAGAUUUUACUUUCUAGCAACAUGUGUUCCUGUCAUUUGCUGUUGCAAGAGACCCAGAUGGCUGUCUUGGAGCAGAGGCCUGCCUUUCAUGUAUUUAUACACAGGUUAGAUGGAUCUCAGGUUGCAAGGCUGCAAUGUACUCUACCAUUAGCAACAGGUAAACAUUGAAAAGCAAGGAGAUGCCUGAAGAUUUUGCCCAUCUCUCACAGUUUCCACAAAUAUUUAUGGAAAAUAUCUAAUUCAGAUCAAUUUGCACUUACAGAAAUGGUACAGUAUGUUUAUCAACCAUUGAAAUAAUAAUUAAAAAAAAAUAGUAUGGGAUGUUGGGGCAAUGAAGGGUUAUUUUUGAUUAUUUUUGAUGGUAAUUGAGGGAGGAGGUGGGGAGCAGAGAGAAAACAGUCAGUCAGCAUUUAGGUGAAGGGAUAGCAGAGUGGCUGCCCUGCACUGGGCAGGGGCUGGAGGCAAGGGAAGGUAAUGUGCAUGGCUGUGUGCGUGGCUCCAUGCUGCUGUGCUGCUGCUCACAUCUGCUCCUCAUCACCAGCAGUGCCAUCUGCUUGGUUGUCUUUUCUGGAAUUAGUUCUGAUUUUUUCUGUUUUUCCUCUUCCAGCAAGGGGUGUUUUCCAGCUCUGGACUGGCUCUGCUCCUCCACAGCUGUCCCUUCCCAUAGAGCCUACUUCUUAAGAAGGAAUCGAACUAAAGCAGUAGGAAUGGUGUGCAGGAGACAUAAUCAAAAUGGAUGAAAUGCUUCCAAGCACGAGGGAAGGAGGCAUUCUUCCUUCUCUAUCUAUCAAAGGAGAAGAGGAGCUACCUGGGUAAGUUCCUCACUCAGUCUCGUGGUAAUGAAAAAAUCGUCAGUAGAAGAGAGUUUCUUUCCAUAUAAAAUAAGAAGUUUGAAGACAAUAUUCUUUCUUGAUGCAAUGAUUUACAUGCAGAGUCUCCCAGACCCUCCCAGUGAGUGUGGACGUGUCUAAGAAGGCUCACGUGCUACCCUCACACACUGCAGAAAGAAGUUGUUUUUGGCAGCUAAGCACAGGCUGGCAAGCUGCAAAGCUGCUUUUUACAAUGCAAUGCAGAAACAGAGCCACCAGAACGACUCCUUUUCUGUUUACAUAACAUCAUGCAGCUUCUUUACCUGACAGCUUAUUUUGUCCAGAAUGAAUACAAAGGCCACUUAGGACACAACAGGAUGUGGCAGCAGUGUUUUUCAAAUCUCAGCACAAAACCAGCACUCCAUUAGCAAUCUUUUCACAGCUGCAUGCUUUCAUGAUUUAAAACUGUGUUUCAGAGUGUAUUUAACUAAUUAAAAUUGGUCACGAUUCUUUUUCAAGUAUAUUGCUGCUUUAUCAAAGGAAGUUGGCUGUGUGCUUAAAUCAAUACAAACAAGCGAAAACGAAAACAGAGUGGUUUAGAAGCUGUGAGGCUGAGUUAAGCUGCUUUACUUCUAAGACGAUCCACCAAUCCUGAGGAGAUCAACAGGUCUUCCAUAUUUCUAAGUACGCUAUUUUAACCGUGGAUCUAUCACGCUUACUUUAUGGCCUCGGAGGAAUUGGAGGAACAAUUUUCCUCCCAAGAGGACAUAAAAUUUAGCCUUUGUAGCAUCAGUUAAAAAGAAGCAGGAGCACUGCCCUUUUGAUAAUACCCUCAUAAUACCUGAGCAAGACGGUUAUAAGCCAGGAUUUGCAGUACAGUUUUUAUCUCUUAGCCAAUUUUUUUUAGUCUCCUGAACACCAUUCCUAGGUU